This 218-nucleotide long non-coding RNA is filed under the name Capsicum annuum. Its description in RNAcentral is "long non-coding RNA (CANN_LNC002808)". The record is from RNAcentral. Lineage: Eukaryota; Viridiplantae; Streptophyta; Magnoliopsida; Solanales; Solanaceae.
CGGACAUAGUCACGGCUGGACUAUGGUAGAAGUUUAACUAAAUGAAUAUAAGUAGUAAAUAGAUAUGUACCUGACUAGCCGGGAACCCAACUGAAAUAGUAGUAAACAAGUAGCUUCUUCUUUAUUUAAUUCUUGAAUAUAUUACAAAGAGAGAGAGAGAGAGUUUUUGAAAAAUAAAAGAAGAGAAUUUCUGAACUCCUGCCUCUUCUCAAGAAUGA